RNAcentral lists this ribosomal RNA (402 nucleotides) under Verrucomicrobiota bacterium. Its description in RNAcentral is "Verrucomicrobia bacterium partial 16S ribosomal RNA". It matches the Rfam family "Bacterial small subunit ribosomal RNA", at positions 355 to 776 of the family's 1533-position model. The record is from RNAcentral. Lineage: Bacteria; Pseudomonadati; Verrucomicrobiota.
UGGGGAAUUUUGCACAAUGGGGGAAACCCUGAUGCAGCGACGCCGCGUGAUUUAGAAGGCCUUCGGGUUGAAAAAAUCUUUUUUAUGGGAAGAAAAUGACAGUACCAUAGGAAUAAGGACCGGCUAAUUACGAGCCAGCAGCCGCGGUAAUACGUAAGGUCCGAGCGUUGUCCGGAAUCAUUGGGCGUAAAGGGUACGUAGGCGGGUAAGCAAGUUAGAAGUGAAAUCCUGUAGGUCAACUACAGUAAGCUUUUAAAACUGCUCAUCUUGAGAUAUGGAAGGGAAAGUGGAAUUCCUAGUGAAGCGGUGAAAUACGCAGAUAUUAGGAGGAAUACCGGUGGCGAAGGCGACUUUCUGGCCAUAAUCUGACGCUGAGGUACGAAAGCGUGGGUAGCAAACAGG